This 89-nucleotide transfer RNA is filed under the name Perca fluviatilis (European perch). It matches the Rfam family "tRNA". From Rfam's summary of the family: Transfer RNA (tRNA) molecules are approximately 80 nucleotides in length. Their secondary structure includes four short double-helical elements and three loops (D, anti-codon, and T loops). Lineage: Eukaryota; Metazoa; Chordata; Actinopteri; Perciformes; Percidae. The record is from Rfam by way of RNAcentral.
CCUUCGAUAGCUCAGUUGGUAGAGCGGAGGACUGUAGGUUGAUAGUCGUAGGCAUCCUUAGGUCGCUGGUUCAACUCUGGCUCGAAGGA